Oncorhynchus masou masou (cherry salmon) is the source of this 952-nucleotide long non-coding RNA. RefSeq lists it as uncharacterized. Lineage: Eukaryota; Metazoa; Chordata; Actinopteri; Salmoniformes; Salmonidae. The transcript is spliced from 3 exons. The record is from RefSeq and is a predicted model, not a curated record.
GCCCACUAAUCUCUGAUUGCUGCAUACCUUCACUUGUUGAAGUUCGGGACAGUCUCAAGGAUAGUCCCAGUUUCCAAGACCUACUACUGGAUAGAGCUUUACAGAGGGCUGGCUUUGGAACUGUGACCAAUGCAGUCUAUAACUCCACAGAACAUAAACAAAGUUAACUUGUUUGAAGACAACUUUAUGUAUCUGAAUAUUUGUUAUCCACUGUAUGUGUGUGUGUGUGUGUGUGUGUGUGUGUGUGUGUGUGUGUAUAUCGGCUAGUUAUUUAUUUAGGUUCACGGCUGGAUAAGACAGCUUGACACCUUGCCUGGGAGAAGAAUGCAUGCUGUCCAACACUAUAUUUGGAAAAAGGAUCAGCAGUUAAGGCCCAAAGGCCCCAGCCUCGGUGUGACAGAAUAAAAAGGCAGAUGAGUGAAAGGAGAGCACAGUGGCUUGAGGGAAAAUACAUAGACCCACCUCCACACCUGAAAUGUAGUCGUCCAUGGUGGCCUCCAGUUCUAAAACAGGCAGUUCUCCGAAGACAAGAACCCGAUACCAGCUUCAACCAGAACCUCCCCCCCCACGGCAGAAAUUCAGCCAUCCAUGUUGACCCCCAGUUCUGAGCAGGCGCAUCCCACAAAGACAAGAACCUUAAGUCAGCUCCAUCCAGAAGCAACAAGGGGGCCAAGAGGACAGCUAAGCGGCACCCACCCUAAUGCUAGAGUUGCUGCUGCUUCCACCCUUGUAAAAGACCUCCCACUGACCAGGUCCACAGAGGAGGUGAAUUACAAAAGGCUGGUCAUGAACCUGUUAGGAAGAGGUUACCUGUUGCUUUCCCCUGCAGGAUAUGUGGCAAGCCUAAAAUUAAAUAAUAAUAAAUUGCCACAGCCAUUGCAGGGGGAGGCAAAACUGCUGUGGAUUGGCUGGGUCUCAUCAAGGAUCACAUCAUGGAGGGUCGUUUUAAUGU